AGCCAUAGCCAUAUCACCCUGCAGCUCAAGACUGGUUACUCACAGAAGUUACGCAGGGCUGAGCCGGGUCAGUACCUGUAUGGGAGGUCACAUGGGAAAACUACUUUGCUGUUGAAA
RNAcentral lists this ribosomal RNA (117 nucleotides) under Danio rerio (zebrafish). Lineage: Eukaryota; Metazoa; Chordata; Actinopteri; Cypriniformes; Danionidae. The record is from RNAcentral.